AGCGAACGCUGGCGGUAGGCCUAACACAUGCAAGUCGAACGGCAGCACAGUAAGAGCUUGCUCUUACGGGUGGCGAGUGGCGGACGGGUGAGGAAUAUAUCGGAAUCUACUUUUUCGUGGGGGAUAACGUAGGGAAACUUACGCUAAUACCGCAAACGACCUACGGGUGAAAGCAGGGGAUCUUCGGACCUUGCGCGAUUGAAUGAGCCGAUGCCGGAUUAGCUAGUUGGCGGGGUAAAGUCCCACCAAGGCGACGAUCCGUAGCUGGUCUGAGAGGAUGAUCAGCCACACUGUAACUGAGACACGGUCCAGACUCCUACGAGAGGCAGCAGUGGGGAAUAUUGGACAAUGGAGGCAAGCCUGAUCCAGCCAUACCGCGUGGGUGAAGAAGGCCUUCGGGUUGUAAAGCCCUUUUGUUGGUAGAGAAAAGCAGCAGGUUGAUACCCCGCUGUUCUGACGGUACCCAAAGAAUAAGCACCGGCUAACUUCGUG
RNAcentral lists this ribosomal RNA (492 nucleotides) under uncultured bacterium. RNAcentral's name for it is "partial 16S ribosomal RNA". It matches the Rfam family "Bacterial small subunit ribosomal RNA", at positions 29 to 507 of the family's 1533-position model. The record is from RNAcentral.